RNAcentral lists this ribosomal RNA (512 nucleotides) under uncultured bacterium. Its description in RNAcentral is "partial 16S ribosomal RNA". It matches the Rfam family "Bacterial small subunit ribosomal RNA", at positions 28 to 507 of the family's 1533-position model. The record is from RNAcentral.
GACGAACGCUGGCGGCGUGCCUAAUACAUGCCAGUCGAGCGAGCGGAACUAACAGAUUUACUUCAGUAAUGACGUUAGGAAAGCGAGCGGCGGAUGGGUGAGUAACACGCGGGGAACCUGCCCCAUAGUCUGGGAUACCACUUGGAAACAGGUGCUAAUACCGGAUAAGAAAGCAGAUCGCAUGAUCAGCUUUUAAAAGGCGGCGUAAGCUGUCGCUAUGGGAUGGCCCCGCGGUGCAUUAGCUAGUUGGUAAGGUAAAGGCUUACCAAGGCGAUGAUGCAUAGCCGAGUUGAGAGAAUGAUCGGCCACAUUGGGACUGAGACACGGCCCAAACUCCUACGGGAGGCAGCAGUAGGGAAUCUUCCACAAUGGACGCAAGUCUGAUGGAGCAACGCCGCGUGAGUGAAGAAGGUUUUCGGAUCGUAAAGCUCUGUUGUUGGUGAAGAAGGAUAGAGGUAGUAACUGGCCUUUAUUUGACGGUAAUCAAACAGAAAGUCACGGCUAACUACGUG